This 24-nucleotide non-coding RNA is filed under the name Arabidopsis thaliana (thale cress). Lineage: Eukaryota; Viridiplantae; Streptophyta; Magnoliopsida; Brassicales; Brassicaceae. The record is from RNAcentral.
AUAUAAUGGUUUGCCAAUGAGUGG